AUGAACGAAUAUAUGGGGGGUUACUGUCUCAAUGGGGUUACUUGAAAUUAGUACGAAAGUGCAAAUACUUUCAAGUCUAAAAUAGACGAGAAGACCCUAGAAACUUGUUUAUUACUUUUGCUGGGGCGGCAGAAUUACAUCUAAACUAAUUUUAAUUUACGUGACGCAUAGCUGUAAGUCUAAGUUACUCUAGGGAUAACAGCAUAAUUCUAUUUAUUUGUGACCUCGAUGUUGGACUAG
Molecule: ribosomal RNA, 240 nt
Filed under: Cepaea hortensis
Lineage: Eukaryota; Metazoa; Mollusca; Gastropoda; Stylommatophora; Helicidae
Description: partial 16S ribosomal RNA
Source: RNAcentral